Molecule: ribosomal RNA, 253 nt
Filed under: uncultured bacterium
Lineage: Bacteria
Description: partial 16S ribosomal RNA
Rfam family: Bacterial small subunit ribosomal RNA
Source: RNAcentral
UACGUAGGUGACUAGCGUUGUCCGGAUUUACUGGGCGUAAAGAGCGCGCAGGCGGUCGUUCAAGUCGAGUGUGAAAGCCCCCGGCUCAACUGGGGAGGGUCAUUCGAUACUGAUCGACUCGAAGGCAGGAGAGGGAAGCGGAAUUCCCGGUGUAGUGGUGAAAUGCGUAGAUAUCGGGAGGAACACCAGUGGCGAAGGCAGCUUCCUGGCCUGUUCUUGACGCUGAGGCGCGAAAGCUAGGGGAGCAAACGGG